ACACGACUACAUUAGAUACCCCGGUAGUCCCAGCCCUAAACGAUGCGCGUUAGGUGUAUCGGUGACCACGAGUCACCGAGGUGCCGAAGGGAAACCGUGAAACGUGCCGCCUGGGAAGUACGGUCGCAAGGCUGAAACUUAAAGGAAUUGGCGGGGAGCACCACAACGGGUGGAGCCUGCGGUUUAAUUGGACUCAACGCCGGGAAGCUCACCGGAUAAGACAGCGGAAUGAUUGCCGGGCUGAAGACUCUGCAUGACUAGCUG
This 264-nucleotide ribosomal RNA is filed under the name uncultured archaeon. RNAcentral's name for it is "partial 16S ribosomal RNA". It matches the Rfam family "Archaeal small subunit ribosomal RNA", at positions 717 to 982 of the family's 1478-position model. The record is from RNAcentral.